This 581-nucleotide ribosomal RNA is filed under the name Salmonella enterica subsp. enterica serovar Weltevreden. RNAcentral's name for it is "partial 23S ribosomal RNA". It matches the Rfam family "Bacterial large subunit ribosomal RNA", at positions 640 to 1221 of the family's 2925-position model. Lineage: Bacteria; Pseudomonadati; Pseudomonadota; Gammaproteobacteria; Enterobacterales; Enterobacteriaceae. The record is from RNAcentral.
GCAAGGUUAACCGCAUAGGGGAGCCGGAGGGAAACCGAGUCUUAACCGGGCGUUAAGUUGCAGGGUAUAGACCCGAAACCCGGUGAUCUAGCCAUGGGCAGGUUGAAGGUUGGGUAACACUAACUGGAGGACCGAACCGACUAAUGUUGAAAAAUUAGCGGAUGACCUGUGGCUGGGGGUGAAAGGCCAAUCAAACCGGGAGAUAGCUGGUUCUCCCCGAAAGCUAUUUAGGUAGCGCCUCGUGAAUUCAUCUCCGGGGGUAGAGCACUGUUUCGGCUAGGGGGCCAUCCCGGCUUACCAACCCGAUGCAAACUGCGAAUACCGGAGAAUGUUAUCACGGGAGACACACGGCGGGUGCUAACGUCCGUCGUGAAGAGGGAAACAACCCAGACCGCCAGCUAAGGUCCCAAAGUCAUGGUUAAGUGGGAAACGAUGUGGGAAGGCCCAGACAGCCAGGAUGUUGGCUUAGAAGCAGCCAUCAUUUAAAGAAAGCGUAAUAGCUCACUGGUCGAGUCGGCCUGCGCGGAAGAUGUAACGGGGCUAAACCAUGCACCGAAGCUGCGGCAGCGACGCUUAUGCGU